This 1536-nucleotide ribosomal RNA is filed under the name Klebsiella pneumoniae. RNAcentral's name for it is "bacterial SSU rRNA". It matches the Rfam family "Bacterial small subunit ribosomal RNA". Lineage: Bacteria; Pseudomonadati; Pseudomonadota; Gammaproteobacteria; Enterobacterales; Enterobacteriaceae. The record is from RNAcentral.
UUGAAGAGUUUGAUCAUGGCUCAGAUUGAACGCUGGCGGCAGGCCUAACACAUGCAAGUCGAGCGGUAGCACAGAGAGCUUGCUCUCGGGUGACGAGCGGCGGACGGGUGAGUAAUGUCUGGGAAACUGCCUGAUGGAGGGGGAUAACUACUGGAAACGGUAGCUAAUACCGCAUAAUGUCGCAAGACCAAAGUGGGGGACCUUCGGGCCUCAUGCCAUCAGAUGUGCCCAGAUGGGAUUAGCUAGUAGGUGGGGUAACGGCUCACCUAGGCGACGAUCCCUAGCUGGUCUGAGAGGAUGACCAGCCACACUGGAACUGAGACACGGUCCAGACUCCUACGGGAGGCAGCAGUGGGGAAUAUUGCACAAUGGGCGCAAGCCUGAUGCAGCCAUGCCGCGUGUGUGAAGAAGGCCUUCGGGUUGUAAAGCACUUUCAGCGGGGAGGAAGGCGGUGAGGUUAAUAACCUCAUCGAUUGACGUUACCCGCAGAAGAAGCACCGGCUAACUCCGUGCCAGCAGCCGCGGUAAUACGGAGGGUGCAAGCGUUAAUCGGAAUUACUGGGCGUAAAGCGCACGCAGGCGGUCUGUCAAGUCGGAUGUGAAAUCCCCGGGCUCAACCUGGGAACUGCAUUCGAAACUGGCAGGCUAGAGUCUUGUAGAGGGGGGUAGAAUUCCAGGUGUAGCGGUGAAAUGCGUAGAGAUCUGGAGGAAUACCGGUGGCGAAGGCGGCCCCCUGGACAAAGACUGACGCUCAGGUGCGAAAGCGUGGGGAGCAAACAGGAUUAGAUACCCUGGUAGUCCACGCCGUAAACGAUGUCGAUUUGGAGGUUGUGCCCUUGAGGCGUGGCUUCCGGAGCUAACGCGUUAAAUCGACCGCCUGGGGAGUACGGCCGCAAGGUUAAAACUCAAAUGAAUUGACGGGGGCCCGCACAAGCGGUGGAGCAUGUGGUUUAAUUCGAUGCAACGCGAAGAACCUUACCUGGUCUUGACAUCCACAGAACUUUCCAGAGAUGGAUUGGUGCCUUCGGGAACUGUGAGACAGGUGCUGCAUGGCUGUCGUCAGCUCGUGUUGUGAAAUGUUGGGUUAAGUCCCGCAACGAGCGCAACCCUUAUCCUUUGUUGCCAGCGGUUCGGCCGGGAACUCAAAGGAGACUGCCAGUGAUAAACUGGAGGAAGGUGGGGAUGACGUCAAGUCAUCAUGGCCCUUACGACCAGGGCUACACACGUGCUACAAUGGCAUAUACAAAGAGAAGCGACCUCGCGAGAGCAAGCGGACCUCAUAAAGUAUGUCGUAGUCCGGAUUGGAGUCUGCAACUCGACUCCAUGAAGUCGGAAUCGCUAGUAAUCGUAGAUCAGAAUGCUACGGUGAAUACGUUCCCGGGCCUUGUACACACCGCCCGUCACACCAUGGGAGUGGGUUGCAAAAGAAGUAGGUAGCUUAACCUUCGGGAGGGCGCUUACCACUUUGUGAUUCAUGACUGGGGUGAAGUCGUAACAAGGUAACCGUAGGGGAACCUGCGGUUGGAUCACCUCCUU